Long non-coding RNA from Homarus americanus (American lobster), 395 nucleotides. RefSeq lists it as uncharacterized. Lineage: Eukaryota; Metazoa; Arthropoda; Malacostraca; Decapoda; Nephropidae. The transcript has 4 exons. The record is from RefSeq and is a predicted model, not a curated record.
AACAUUCUCAGCUGGGUUGGAUGUAAAACUCAUAAAAAAGCCAUUUAAACACUUAUAAUUUUACAGGUUUCGAGUGAUAAGGCAAGAUGCUUUGAUGGCCAAGGAAACUACAUAUAGCCUUCCUCAGAGACAAAAGGUUAAAACAAAUUCAUCACGUGUGUGCAGUGAGCAUUUUCCUUAAGGCAGCUAUACAGUACAAGAUAUGGUCAUCAUCUUCACAAUGCUACUGCAACAACAGAUUUUCAGAUGGUUUAUUUUCUAAAUAUGAUCCAUGAGAUGCUGUCCACUCAGAAAAUAACCCUGUUGAGAAUGCAAUUGAUUAGAUGGACUUGGAUCAAGUUAUUGAACAAGGAUGGUGGAUAAAGGGCUGCAGAUAGGCACAUAAAAGGUACAGU